RNAcentral lists this ribosomal RNA (446 nucleotides) under uncultured bacterium. Its description in RNAcentral is "bacterial SSU rRNA". It matches the Rfam family "Bacterial small subunit ribosomal RNA", at positions 29 to 523 of the family's 1533-position model. The record is from RNAcentral.
AACGAACGCUGGCGGCAGGCUUAACACAUGCAAGUCGAACGCCCCGCAAGGGGAGUGGCAGACGGGUGAGUAACACGUGGGAACGUGCCCUUCGCUUCGGGAUAGCCUCGGGAAACUGGGAGUAAUACCGAAUACGCCGUAUUGGGAAAGAUUUAUCGGCGAAGGAUCGGCCCGCGUUGGAUUAGCUAGUUGGCGGUGUAAUGGACCACCAAGGCUACGAUCCAUAGCUGGUCUGAGAGGACGACCAGCCACACUGGGACUGAGACACGGCCCAGACUCCUACGGGAGGCAGCAGUGGGGAAUCUUGGACAAUGGGCGCAAGCCUGAUCCAGCCAUGCCGCGUGAGUGAAGAAGGCCUUAGGGUUGUAAAACUCUUUCGCCGGUGAAGAUAAUGACGGUAACCGGAGAAGAAGCCCCGGCUAACUUCGUGCCAGCAGCCGCGGUAA